AGUUUAUCACCUUGUUUGUGCUUUCUCACUACCCCAAUUUACUUUUUCAUUGAUUUUGUUUGAGAAGAAAGAAAAUGUUGGCAAUUUUCAAGAAAAGUGUGGUUGAUCCACCAAAGGAGCUGCAGAGCCCAGCCUCUUUGCAAUCAUCAAACAAGGCUGUUUCCCCUGAAGAGACUAUGAAGAAUUUCUUAGCUUCAAAUUCCAACAAUGGGUUUUCCAUUGGAUUCAUGGACAAGGCAUUCUUGGCCUAUUCCAAACCUCCAUCCUCAUCAAAUGCUCAACAAAGGUUGUUCUGUGGGUUGAAUGACAUAUACUGCAUUUUCUUGGGAAGCUUGAACAACUUAUGGGCACUAAACAAGCAGUAUGGUCUGUCAAAGGGUACCAAUGAGGCCAUGCUUGUGAGUGAAGCAUAUCGCACCCUCCGUGACAGAGGCCCAUUCCCAGCUCAUGAGGUCCUCAAGGGACUUGAGGGUAGCUUUGGCUUUGUGAUCUAUGAUCAUAAGGCUGGUAAUGUCUUUGUUGCCCUUGGUGCUGAUGAAACUGCAAAGAUGUUCUGGGGAAUAGCAUCUGAUGGAUCUGUCAUGAUCUCUGAUAGUGUGGAUCAUAUCAAAGGAAGCUGUCUCAAAUCAUUUGCUCCCUUCCCAAGUGGGUGCAUGUACCACAGUGAAAGUGGAUUGAAGAGCUUUGAGCAUCCAAGUUACAAGAUGAAAGCAAUGCCAAGAGUGGAUAGUGAAGGAGCCAUGUGUGGAGCUUGCUUCAAAGUUGAUGUCUACUCCAAGGUGAAUAGCAUGCCAAGAGUUGGAAGUUCUGCCAACUGGGCUAAUUGGGGCCAGCAGGCUUAGGUUCAUUUGGACCUCAUUUUAACUAACUACAAUAUAAAGAAGAAAAGAAAAAACUUACAAAGGAGGAUGCACAGAAAGCUGAACAGGUCAUCUCAUCUAUGUCAUCAGAUGAGUUGGAAAGAAUGGUGAGAUGGGCAGCAAGGAUUCAAACAGGAAUACAAGUUCUCAAGAUUACCAAAGAUUUUGUCAUGGCAAAUCCUGGCAUGAGCUUGGCACUUUUUGUGCCCAUUUUAGCAGUCUUCCUUCACCUGUUUGGCUACAUCUGAGCUUUUUCUGUUCUUUUAUAUUUUCUUG
Molecule: RNA transcript, 1136 nt
Organism: Solanum verrucosum
Lineage: Eukaryota; Viridiplantae; Streptophyta; Magnoliopsida; Solanales; Solanaceae
Exons: 5
Source: RefSeq, a predicted model, not a curated record